This 492-nucleotide ribosomal RNA is filed under the name uncultured bacterium. Its description in RNAcentral is "partial 16S ribosomal RNA". It matches the Rfam family "Bacterial small subunit ribosomal RNA", at positions 29 to 507 of the family's 1533-position model. The record is from RNAcentral.
AGUGAACGCUGGCGGUAGGCCUAACACAUGCAAGUCGAACGGCAGCACAGUAAGAGCUUGCUCUUACGGGUGGCGAGUGGCGGACGGGUGAGGAAUACAUCGGAAUCUACUUUUUCGUGGGGGAUAACGUAGGGAAACUUACGCUAAUACCGCAUACGACCUACGGGUGAAAGCAGGGGAUCUUCGGACCUUGCGCGAUUGAAUGAGCCGAUGUCGGAUUAGCUAGUUGGCGGGGUAAAGGCCCACCAAGGCGACGAUCCGUAGCUGGUCUGAGAGGAUGAUCGGCCACACUGGAACUGAGACACGGUCCAGACUCCUACGGGAGGCAGCAGUGGGGAAUAUUGGACAAAGGGCGCAAGCCUGAUCCAGCCAUACCGCGUGGGUGAAGAAGGCCUUCGGGUUGUAAAGCCCUGUUGUUGGGAAAGAAAAGCAGCAGGUUAAUACCCCGCUGUUCUGACGGUACCCAAAGAAUAAGCACCGGCUAACUUCGUG